GUUCUAACUGUGACACUUCCACCCUAG
RNAcentral lists this non-coding RNA (27 nucleotides) under Cricetulus griseus (Chinese hamster). Lineage: Eukaryota; Metazoa; Chordata; Mammalia; Rodentia; Cricetidae. The record is from RNAcentral.